AUCUAACUGAACAGUCCCAAAAAGGAUGAAACUCGCGUCCUGGAU
Molecule: non-coding RNA, 45 nt
Filed under: Schistosoma curassoni
Lineage: Eukaryota; Metazoa; Platyhelminthes; Trematoda; Strigeidida; Schistosomatidae
Source: RNAcentral